Molecule: long non-coding RNA, 1098 nt
Organism: Stomoxys calcitrans (stable fly)
Lineage: Eukaryota; Metazoa; Arthropoda; Insecta; Diptera; Muscidae
Exons: 4
Source: RefSeq, a predicted model, not a curated record
CCAAUUUAUAACAAACAAACAGACUUGGAUUGGAAACCUUUUUUGAGUUUUAUUUCUGCCCAACACUGCUUUUCUAUCCAGUACUGAAAUAAAACACAACAAUAAAUUUAUCUAAACAGUGUUAACAACCACAUGCAUACAUAACUUUUGUAAAUAUUUUCGAAACUUAUAUAAAACGCUAUGUUCACGACCGUCUGUGUAUAACUUUAUGUCAUGACUACAAACGUCUAUACCAGGAUGUGGGAGUCUAUGAAAUGACCAUCAAAUAUUUUGAGCCUCAGUUAAUUGUUAUUGUCUAAAAUGUUGGUGUCACAUAAUGGAAUAUCAUAACUUCAGAGAGUCAGUUUUCAAAGCCCAGCUUCGUCUUAAAUAUGUUGCUAACAAACCCGACGAAAUUGUGGUAAAAUCAGAGAUGCUCGAAAUUGAUGACUACACAAUAAUGAGAACCAAGACAAAUAUUCCCAAGAAUACUGCUAAGAAGAGGCUACGAGUUCUACGAAAAUGCAAUCAACCAAAUGACCUCCCAGUCUCCGAAAAAGUUGCCAAUCCAAAUAGAAAAUUUUUCAAAUUAACCGCCGCAAAAAGUACGAUGAACUCAUAGCCCAAUCUAGGCAAACUUUAAAAUGUGAAAUCUGUCCCAAGAUUCGUUCGUCUUUUACAAUAUUAAAGCUUCAUUUUCGGGUUGAACAUCCCGAUGAUAAAUUCUCUAUAGCUUGCUGUGAACGGAUGUUCUAUCUGCGUUCCCGUCUGGAAGAACACCUUCGAUUGCACAGUAACGAUCCGUUUAGGUGUCAUAAAUGCAAUAAAUGUUUAGCACCAGAUCGAAAAUCAAGCAAUACUAAAUCUACUGAUAACUCUGAAGAGACUCGUCGAUGUUCUUACAAUAAUACCACCAUUUCGGAAACAGAGCAUAGCCUUAGUAACAAUGAGAACAGUUUGGAUGACCAUGUGACAACGCGCUCUGGAGAUGAUGAACAUGAACGCCCUCAUUGCCCAAAUACUUUAAAAAAUAAUCCUGCUAAAAAAAGAUGCCUAGAAAAGGAGAAAGACCACAAAUCUUUUGAACAAACAACAAAUAUAAAACAAGAAAGAGAAGAA